CUCUGGAUGAACUCCUCCAAGGGAAGGAAAUUGAUACGGGUCAGAAGCUCACAUCCACAUAAAGAAAGGAAGAGUGCGAGAGAAGAAAUCUAUGAAGAGUAGAAAACCAAGAAACAGAGAAAGUGGAUGAUUUGAAAAUGCAUUGUGGGGCAACGCAGACACAGAGCACACAAGCAAACCUAGCACGCGGUGGAGCUCAGUGAACAUUUGCUGAAUGCAGUUCAGGUUUCUGCCAGACAACCUUUUAUUACCUCAGAAAAGCAAUGCCCAGAUAACCUGAAGAAGCCUAAGAUGUUACCCAUACAUCCUGGAUCAACAUAGCUUCUGGCUUUGCUUUCCCAGUUUCUCUCCAAUCAAGACAACAGGAAAGAAUAUUUAAAAGAAAAGGGAAAGUGAAGGGCAAGGGGAAGAGUAGACCAGACUCUCCAAGGAAAACUCCUCCACAGCCAGUUCUCCGUGCAAGCGCGUCC
Molecule: long non-coding RNA, 470 nt
Organism: Bos taurus (domestic cattle)
Lineage: Eukaryota; Metazoa; Chordata; Mammalia; Artiodactyla; Bovidae
Source: Ensembl